Triticum aestivum (bread wheat) is the source of this 135-nucleotide non-coding RNA. The record is from Rfam. Lineage: Eukaryota; Viridiplantae; Streptophyta; Magnoliopsida; Poales; Poaceae.
CAAAUACUCCCUCCGUCCGAAAAUACUUGUCAUCAAAAUGGAUAAAAGGAAAUGUAUCUAGACGUAUUUUAGUUUUAGAUACAUCCCGUUUUAUCCAUUUUGAUGACAAGUAUUUUAGGACGGAGGGAGUAGAAA